Molecule: long non-coding RNA, 2419 nt
Filed under: Delphinapterus leucas (beluga whale)
Lineage: Eukaryota; Metazoa; Chordata; Mammalia; Artiodactyla; Monodontidae
Description: lncRNA (ENSDLEG00000002297.1)
Source: RNAcentral
GCACGCGCAUUUGUACCGAACAUGGCUGCGGCAGCUCCCGCCGCUGCCGCUGGUGCCGCCGGCCAGCCUCCGUGUGGACGUCCCAUGCAGUUGAGGACGCCCCCUCCGGCAGGUGUGGACACCCCCCUUCUGCAGUGUGGACGUCCCCUGCAGUUGAGGACACCCCCCGGCGAGUGUGGACGCCCCGCUGCGGGUGUGGACGUACCUCGGCGGGUGUGGAAGCUCCCUCUUAGGGUGAGACGCCCUAGCGAUUUCCUCAGCGUUUCCCCGCGGUUCCGCGCUCGUCCUUCCAUAGGGGCCUUUUUGCCCCUGCCUGCCGGGUGUCCUGGCCCGGCCACUGGGGCGAGCCCCGGGUCUGCCGCCCUUCUGCUGCCGGGUGGUGGGAGGGCCCGUGUGGGCGUCGGUGGGUCUCGGGCCGAGGUGGCCGCGUUGCGCCCGCAGACUGUGCCGUUUCCCAACACUCUGCAGACCGGGAGGUGUCAAAUCACCUGUUUUUUCCCCACCUAAUAGCUGCAAAAUCAGAUCUUGCCGCACUUCUCAAUGAGGGCUGCGUUUUUCCAACUGCUAGUGGCCACUUCGCUUUCCUCUUCCUUGGUUUAGUGGGUUCGUUUCCUUAGCUCCUCUUCCCGCAGUAGUUUACGAUAAAAGUUUUUCUACAUAUAGAAAAGUUAAGACACUUGUGCGUCCUUAUACCAACUCAUUAACUCUGCUAUACUUGCUGUAUUUGUUCCCUUUGUCCACCCUUUUAGCUACCCACUAAUCUUUUUGGGAUACAGUCAAAGUAAAUGGCAGAUACCACUCCACUCCCCCCUCAAACACCUUACUACGCUUAACAUCAAUUAGAGUUCAAUAUUGCUUUUUAAAUUUUUGAGGGAAAACUGACUUACAUUGAAAUGCACAGAUAUUCAUUGUAUCACUGGAUGAGUUUUGACAAAUGCAGUCCAAACCUUUAUCAAAAUUACCAUCACCCCAGAAAGAUCCCUUAUCCUUUGCCAAUUUUAAAAAAAUUUCUUAUUAGCGACUUGGGCUUGUAAAAAUAUGUUUUGAACACUAAGACUUUGUUAUUUUUUCCACCCACAGCAAGCAACUUUUCUCCCUUCUAUUGAUUGUUUCUCUCCCUUAGCACUCGACUUUUUAUUUUGAAGUUUUACACCUACAGAAAUGUUGCAGGAAUAGUUCAAUAAACACUUGUAAAACCAUCCAGAUUAUCAAGUUAUUAGUACUUUGCCUCAUUAGCUUUACCCUUCUUUUCUCCCUGCCUCAAACACACAUCUUUUUAUAUCUUACACACCCUCCCACAAGAAGACAAAAGGUUUAUUACUCAGUAAUGAGACUGUCUUGGACAGCAGGGCAGACUUCCCAUGAUGAUCCAAAAAAGUGUGAGUGGGACUUCCCUGGUGGUCCAAUGGUUAAGUCUUCUCCCUUCCACUGCAGGGGGCGUGGGUUCAAUCCCUGGUUGGGAAACUAAGAUCCGGAAUGCCACGUGGUGCGGCCAAAAACCAAAUAAACAAACAAAAAUCGUGAGACAGCAGGAAAAGGAAGCUCGCUGGGUUUCUAUAGUGAUUAAUGGAGUUGAGAUGAGGGUGGCCUUGCAUUGGUUGGGGCUUGCAUGGUUUGAACUUCCUGCCAACACCAAGGAGAAAACACUCAGGCUUUCUUGUUAGUUUGCCUCGUUUGCAGAAGGAGAAGGGGCAGUAGGUGGUGGUGAGGAUGGGGGGUUGAAAGCUGUCAGCAGUCAGUCAUCAAAAAUGAAGUCAGGGGCUUCCCUGGUGGCGCAAUGGUUGAGAGUCCGCCUGCCGAUGCAGGGGACAUGGGUUCGUGCCCCGGUCCGGGAAGAUCCCACAUGCCGCGGAGCGGCUAGGCCCGUAAGCCAUGGCCGCUGAGCCUGCGCGUCCGGAGCCUGUGCUCCGCAACGGGAGAGGCCACAGCGGUGAGAGGCCCGCGUAUCGCAAAAAAAAGAAGUCAGGCUGUUAAUCACAAUUGGUAAUGAGGUGGGUAACUUUAUUUGGACAGGGCUAAAAUUAGUGGCAAACAAUUUAUUUUUGUUAAAGAAUGUAUCAUUUGAAGAAGUAAACAUUAUCGUGUGGUCCACAGAGAUGGCAAGAACCAUGCAGAUGGGGUCAGUCAUCUGAGGUCUGGCAACCAUUGAUGUCAAACAUCCAGUCAUUGGGCUUAAGUGGAUCCUUCUGCAGGGUCAUAGAGACUGCGUAUAAAGGCCUUCAGAGGUGAGUGCCUGGGAAUGGAAUUCUCCACACGCUUUAUUUUAUUUAUUUAUCAACUUAUUUAUUUAUUUUUAUUUUCGGCUGCAUUGGGUCUUCGUUGCUGCACGCAGUCUUUCUCUAGUUGUGGCGAGCGGGGGCUGCUCUUCAUUUUGGUGCACGGGCUUCUCAUUGUGGUGGCUUCUCUUGUUGUGGAGUAU